CGGCUCAGGGGGAGCCUGUUCUCUCUGCCCGAGUCUGCUCCGUCAGCACAAAAAAGCCUCCACAAGAGGAAGCUGCAGUUUGAAGAGGCAAAGGGCAUUCACUAGCUAAAAAUAAGAAAGGGAGCUCAGAGCCGGACACCAUCGGUGGCAGCCGCCCGACGGGCCCUCCUGCUACCUAGAGCAGGCGCAAACCUCUACGGAGCUGGUGGCCAGCCUGCCUGCGGCUCGGACACUCCUUAGGUGGGUCAAGAGGGCCUCGUCAGCCACAGCCGCUGCCGCCUCCUCUCUGGACCCAAAGGAAAAUGCCACUGAGCCAACGGAGGCCUCUUCCCACUUAGCCCAGGGGAUGGCCUCAUGGCAGCCUCCAAAGAUGGCGCCCUUCCCCUGCCACGGGGAGGCCACUGACAUCCCACGAUGGCAGAUGGAAGGUGACAGAGCCUCCUACAGAGGCCAACCAUGGACAUUGGCUGAUAGGCUGAGAGAGACCAUUAUCCUCCUGAACUCUGGAAUCCAACCGGACCCAUUAAUCUCCUUGGAUGGUGAAUCAAAUUAAUCCUCUCCCUCGAUGGCUGCAGAGUGACAAGCUUGGGGAGAGGAAAAGAGAGGCUGUCAGCACAUAUGGAUGGCCGUGGCAGUACUGGUUUAUUAAAUGGAGAGGCCAGUGGGGCCAUCUCAUCUUGGGAAGCUGAUUGGCUCGGGGUCUGUGCUAGUCCCUUACUAAGACUUAAAGAGACCUGAAGAAGAACUCAAGGCAUCCUUAAUGGGAAGCGAUAAGCCCUGCUUUGGCUCAUUUAUUUAUUUAGUUUGACUCAUUUUGAGAAAGGUUGGGCUCUGACUAGGCAUAUCACAUCUCCCUUGAGCCUCAGUAUUAUCUAUAAAAUGGAGAGGGGGAAGAGUUGGAUUGGGAGACCUCAGGGGACCCUUCUAGUUCUGCUUCUAGGGCCCAAAGGCUUUGGGGUGAAGAAGACAGGCUGAGGUUCUCUCUGUAUUGUUGUUGAGGCAAAGAUGUGACCAGGCUCUGGCCAGGGACAGGAUACAAAGAACAGCUCACGUUUCUCUAGUGCUGUAACUACCUUGUUUCAUGGGGUCCUCAUUACAGCCCUCUGGGGUUGGCUUCUUCUUAUCCCCAUUUUACAAAGGAGGAAAAGGGGUGGAGUAACUUGCCAGGAUCACACAGUUGGCAUGUGAACGAGGUAGAGUUCCAAGCUAGGUCCUCCUGAGCAUUGUUGACACUGUGCUACCCCGCCUUCUAGAACCCAAGCCUGGAGGGUGAUGACCUUUUCCUGCUAGACUGAGAAGAGGAAAAGGGGACCCAAGAGGUCAUUCAGUCCAAACCCAUCAUUUUACAGAUGAAAUAUAAGCCCCAGAGGCUCAUUGACUUGCUCAGGCAUACAGGAGGAAGGAAAUGGGGCUGGAAUUUGAAGUCACCUGCUUCACCUUCCUCUUCUGUCUCUAAACCUUCCACCUUGUUGAUGGCUCAAGAGAAGUCUUCCCCAAGGUUCACUUUCCAAGCUCAGAUCUUUCUCUAACCUUUACCUCUCUGAGGCUCAGUU
Molecule: long non-coding RNA, 1553 nt
Organism: Monodelphis domestica (gray short-tailed opossum)
Lineage: Eukaryota; Metazoa; Chordata; Mammalia; Didelphimorphia; Didelphidae
Source: Ensembl